UACGGAGGAUGCGAGCGUUAUCCGGAUUUAUUGGGUUUAAAGGGUGCGCAGGCGGAAUGUCAAGUCAGCGGUAAAAUUUCGGGGCUCAACCCCGUCGUGCCGUUGAAACUGUCGGACUAGAGACGGCGAGAAGUACGCGGAAUGCGCGGUGUAGCGGUGAAAUGCAUAGAUAUCGCGCAGAACUCCGAUUGCGAAGGCGGCGUACCGGCGCCGGACUGACGCUGAGGCACGAAAGCGUGGGUAUCGAACAGG
RNAcentral lists this ribosomal RNA (252 nucleotides) under uncultured Bacteroidales bacterium. Its description in RNAcentral is "partial 16S ribosomal RNA". It matches the Rfam family "Bacterial small subunit ribosomal RNA", at positions 524 to 776 of the family's 1533-position model. Lineage: Bacteria; Pseudomonadati; Bacteroidota; Bacteroidia; Bacteroidales. The record is from RNAcentral.